GCCUGAUGAUAACUUAUACAUAGCAUUUCACUAUCUACAGGUAGAAAUGAAUAAUAGCAAUAGUAAUUCGGAAUGAUUCUAAAUAGAUGAGUUGAUGGAGGUCGGAAGAAAUUAAAUAUCAAGCACGGAAAGAAAGGCAGAUUGAAUUACGUGAACAUAUAUAAAAGCUAGACGUAAACAUUGAAAGACAAUACAAUAAGGAAACAAUUACGGCUCUAUCAUGGUAAUCAGAGUUAACAGAGGACUGGUGUUCGUUUUUUGUUUUCUGAAGGUCUUCAUGGAACCCGGUAUGGUAUUUAUGUCGUUUGGAGUUUUCUUCGUUGAGCUUCUGGACAAAUUCCAGAAAGAUCGCGCAACACUGCAACUGUGCAGUCACUUCUUGUUGGAGUUACUUUAAGCUUUGGUAAGUACUGGAUCUUACAUGAGUGUCUUUUCAUAUUGAAUCAAUCAAACAAGUUGAAUAGAAAAACAAAUUACGAGGGAGGACCUUUCUUCGGAAAGACACAGAUGUAAGAGUUUUUCAUCACAAAUUUGCCUUUCUGCCGAAAGAUCGAAAUGUCCUCUUUCUUAACAAAUUACAUUAAAUCCAACCAAAACCUUUCAUACUUGAAAUGACAUCAACGUCAAAUGUUAUAACAUUAGUGAUAUACCAAAGAUAUGAGAUGGAUUGAUUUCACUCCAACGGCGGCAAUCAUCAGUGAUUAAAAGUAUUAAAUGUCAUGUUAUAAAAUGAUUAGAUAUAUAUAUGUAUUUUGCCAAUUAAUAUGUUUAAAUUGUACUUAUUGCCGAAUUAUUGUCCGCAACUUCAUCUUAUUGACGUUUUAAUGUUUAGUAACUUUGCGUUGCCACCAAGCAUUGUUCAUGUUGAAAUGGAAAAGU
Mercenaria mercenaria is the source of this 879-nucleotide long non-coding RNA. RefSeq lists it as uncharacterized. Lineage: Eukaryota; Metazoa; Mollusca; Bivalvia; Venerida; Veneridae. The transcript has 3 exons. The record is from RefSeq and is a predicted model, not a curated record.